CAUUAACCCCAAAAAUAAAAAAAAACCCAGCAUUUUCCCAAGAAUAAUUGGCUGGAAAAAUGGUGCAAGGCCACAAUUUUAUGUGGUGAAAGUGAAGUAUUCCCUACUAAGAAAUGCGGGUAUAUGUUCUGUUUUAAUCAAUGAAGCAUAAGAAAAUGACCCUUUGAUGGUCUAAAUAAUACAAAAAUAAAGGCCUAUAUGCGGCCGAGUGUAAUACACUCUUACCAAUAAAAAAUGGAAAUUAUUGUGAAGUGAAAAAUAUAAACAAAUUCAUAAUUAGAUUAAUCUACCACAAAAAAAGAAUUUCAUAGAUUGAUCAAUCUACCCGAGAGAUCAUUCAGAAGUGCAAUAAAGGAUCCACUUCUCUUGGCAGUUGAAGUCAGUGGAUGCCAUUUAAUUGUGAUCUCAGGAAGAAUGGGCGAAGGGACACAGUUACUCCGUCUGUUUUCCUUUCCGAAGUUUUUCUAGUUCUUCUUCAGCAUCUGUCAAUUGUCGCCUCAGGGUCUCUAUUUUCCGUUCCAACUCUUCCACUGUGUCCCGACUGGUGGAAGGCUGAUAUGGUGUCACAAAAUGACUUGAGAAAUCUUUCAGAGCUUCAACCCCAGUAACCUCUUCUGGCAACAAUGGCAACUUGGUGAUGUUAAAGUCAUCAUACAGCAUGUAGAACUGAUCAAGGUACUUUUGUUGCAUCCGCAUUCUUGCUUUAAGCAAUUUGGAUUCAACAUCUUCUUCAUCAUAAAGUACUUGGUUGAUGAUAAUAUUAUGUGUAUCUAUCUCAAAUUUGGUAAGUUCCUGCACCAGUCUCUCUGUUUCAUACAGCGAGAGAAAUUCCGGGAUGCAAACACAGACAAAGGUUGUCAAAUCCUGACAAAGAAGAAAACAUGCGCAUUAAGAAAUAAAUGAAUACAGCAACAUAAAAAGAAUUCAAAAGAAAUCCCCAAAACAGGAAUAUUCAAAAGGAAUAUAAAAAAGUUAGGUAAAUCAUACUUAGUGACAAUGCAAGACAUCAGAAAUUUCAGGAAUCCUAGAUUUUAUAGUGGCAAAAUUUAGCAAUAUAUUGAGAUCAUCUGGAUCGAGGUAAAAGAAAACCACAGCAAUGAAAGAUCUUACUGGGUCUUUGAAUUGCAUAUUCACUCGUUCAAUCACAUCUUUCAUGCCCUCAAGCCUUCCCAAAAGGGCAUCUUCACCAAAUUCAUCAUCAAUACCAAAUACACGAGUCAUCUGCAAUGAACAGUGUCAAUUCUUAUCAAAUACAUAAUUGUAUUGCUAAUAGUCCAUGGCACAAGAAUUAAGAGAUACAAAUGAGAUUUUAAAAAUAAAAUUUAUUUAGAUUAUGAUAUCCACAGUCAAAAUUGAAUGUGACAGCUGUAUUAAUGUGUCAUAGCAGGUGAGAAUGUCCAAAUCUAAAGUAUAAAUGGCAGCAUAAUAUAUAAAUUUGGUCUGCCCAUGUGCCCAUCUAAUGGUUCCAAUGCAAUAACACCACAAAAUCAACACUUUUUGAAUUCAGUUCAUCAAUUAGGAUUUUCAAAAAUAGAUAUCUGCUUGAGUGAGAAUAAGGUACAUAGAAGAUAGUGGAUACUGGAUAUAGAAAUCAACACCUUAUGACAUAACCAGUAGAGUAUAUUUAUGGUUGAUGGCCAUAGACUUCCAAGACUCAUUUGACUGUAAAGAUAAACCACUUUAACUGAGGAGAGAUUAACACGAAUUGGCUCAAAAGAGUGAGCGUAGCAUAGUCUCGCUCAAACUUUGGCCAUGAAAAUCAUUCUGAUGUUUUUGGAGUGGAAGAUAGAAGUAUAUGACAUCCAAGAAAGAUGUGCUACUGCAGAUAUUACCACACUCCACCUCAUCAUAUAGAGUAAACAGAGAUUGAAAGCUGACAAACACAGCAUUUAGAUUCAUAUACACAUUCUUAUAUUUUGUACAAAAAACCAACUUUACCAGGCGUAAGAUGGAGUUUCAAAGAAAAUUUUGAAAUCAAUUCACCAUCUACAACAAGGAAAAAGGAUAUUAAGCUAAGGUUAAUUAAUCCAGAUCUCAAACCUUCAAAAUAAUGGAAGGGAAACCCGAAAAAUGACUGCCACUUGAGUUCUCAUGAUAUUAUUCAAGGACAUACCUGGCUCAAUAAACCACCAAAUUUACUUUUCAAAGACAUCAUUUUUUGCAGCCCCUUCUCUAGAGUUGAUGGAAAUUGUAAUAGCCGCAGUGUAUGACCAGUUGGAGCCGUAUCAAAUACAAUAACAGAGUAGUCCAUCGUUUGCACCAAUUUCAACAUUUCUGCAAAGCUCAUAGCCUCAUCGAUUCCAGGAAUUGCGUUCGCUAGCUCAGAGAAAACACUGUCCAUUCCAUCAUUUCCGCCUACGUCCUCGUUUUCAACAUUAGGAUCGACUUCCAUAGCAUAUAAAUUGUUGAAGCCAUUGACCAAAGUGGGGGUCUUGGUGAAUCGCUGUUGAAACGCAUCGCUAAGAUUGUGAGCUGGGUCAGUUGAUAUGAUCAAGACAGAGGAUCUGACCCUAGCCAAAAGGACCGAGAGAAUGGAACUGCAAGUGGUUUUUCCGACACCACCUUUGCCUCCGACGAAGACCCACUUGAGGGUCUCUUGGUCUAGUAUGUUCCGGACAGAUCCUUCAGGUAUCUCCAGAUCAUCUGUUGCCAUCCUUUGCUAACCAAUUCUCUUCCUUGCGCCAAUUUUCUUUCUCUCGAUUCUUAAGCUCGAAACAGAGCACAGAGGCACGGUCAUAGAUUUUGGCCCAGCUCGGUUGGGAUGGCG
RNAcentral lists this unclassified non-coding RNA (2767 nucleotides) under Hevea brasiliensis (rubber tree). The record is from RNAcentral. Lineage: Eukaryota; Viridiplantae; Streptophyta; Magnoliopsida; Malpighiales; Euphorbiaceae.